Molecule: ribosomal RNA, 165 nt
Filed under: uncultured bacterium
Lineage: Bacteria
Description: partial 16S rRNA
Rfam family: Bacterial small subunit ribosomal RNA
Source: RNAcentral
UAGGGAAUCUUCGGCAAUGGGGGUAACCCUGACCGAGCAACGCCGCGUGAGUGAAGAAGGUUUUCGGAUCGUAAAGCUCUGUUGUAAGAGAAGAACGUGUGUGAGAGUGGAAAGUUCACACAGUGACGGUAAUUUACCAGAAAGGGACGGCUAACUACGUGGCAG